CCUACGGGAGGCAGCAGUAGGGAAUUUUCGUCAAUGGGCGCAAGCCUGAACGAGCAAUGCCGCGUGAACGAGGAAGGUCCUAGGAUCGUAAAAUUCUGUUUAAGGGGGAAAAAAUCGGAGAGAGGAAAUGGUCUCCGAUUGAUAUUACCCUUCGAGGAAGUCACGGCUAACUACGUGCCAGCAGCCGCGGUAAUACGUAGGGGGCGAGCGUUGGCCGGAUUGAGUGGGCGUAAAGGGUGCGUAGGCGGCCUGCUAAGUCUGGAGUGAAAGGUACCGGCUCAACCGGUACAGGCUCUGGAAACUGGCGGGCUAGAGAGCAGGAGAGGGCGGUGGAACGCGAUGUGUAGCGGUGAAAUGCGUAGAGAUAAGGAAGAACACCAGUGGCGAAGGCAGCCGCCUGGCCUGUUACUGACGCUGAGGCACGAAAGCGUGGGGAGCAAAUAGGAUUAGAUACCCCAGUAGUC
This 464-nucleotide ribosomal RNA is filed under the name uncultured bacterium. Its description in RNAcentral is "partial 16S ribosomal RNA". It matches the Rfam family "Bacterial small subunit ribosomal RNA", at positions 338 to 795 of the family's 1533-position model. The record is from RNAcentral.